Long non-coding RNA from Electrophorus electricus (electric eel), 383 nucleotides. RefSeq lists it as uncharacterized. NCBI's taxonomy places the organism in Eukaryota, Metazoa, Chordata, Actinopteri, Gymnotiformes, Gymnotidae. The record is from RefSeq and is a predicted model, not a curated record.
GCUGAUGUGACGUAAUCUGGCUGUGAUUCAAAUAAAAUUAAAAUGAAAAGAAACACGUUUAAUAAAGCCGUAAAUUCGCGACAGACGUCCCCGCUGCGUGACAAGCUCAACGUGUCGUCCCGUACUGGUGAGGGCGACUGAAGUUUGCAGUUUGCAGAUUUUUUCAUCGCCCGUCAUCUCACGCGAAGCAGAAGUCAUGAGCGCCCUUGCUCGAGCUCUCGUUCUGGGUCUGCUGCUGGUCGCGUGCCUUCAGUUGAACGUAAUGGGCGUUGGAAAUUUACAAUCAGGAAGGGGCUUCGCAUCUGUGCAGACCCUGGCUUUAAGUGGGUGCAGAACACCAUGGACAGAAUUGAUCAGCGCUUGGUGGAGGAGUCUUCAGUCUA